GCGGCGGACGGGUGAGUAACGCGUGGGAACGUGCCCUUCUCUACGGAAUAGCCCCGGGAAACUGGGAGUAAUACCGUAUACGCCCUUUGGGGGAAAGAUUUAUCGGAGAAGGAUCGGCCCGCGUUGGAUUAGGUAGUUGGUGGGGUAAUGGCCCACCAAGCCGACGAUCCAUAGCUGGUUUGAGAGGAUGAUCAGCCACACUGGGACUGAGACACGGCCCAGACUCCUACGGGAGGCAGCAGUGGGGAAUCUUAGACAAUGGGGGCAACCCUGAUCUAGCCAUGCCGCGUGAGUGAUGAAGGCCUUAGGGUUGUAAAGCUCUUUCAGCUGGGAAGAUAAUGACGGUACCAGCAGAAGAAGCCCCGGCUAACUCCGUGCCAGCAGCCGCGGUAAUACGGAGGGGGCUAGCGUUGUUCGGAAUUACUGGGCGUAAAGCGCACGUAGGCGGACUGGAAAGUCAGAGGUGAAAUCCCAGGGCUCAACCUUGGAACUGCCUUUGAAACUAUCAGUCUGGAGUUCGAGAGAGGUGAGUGGAAUUCCGAGUGUAGAGGUGAAAUUCGUAGAUAUUCGGAGGAACACCAGUGGCGAAGGCGGCUCA
This 598-nucleotide ribosomal RNA is filed under the name Paracoccus sp. R19-5-1. RNAcentral's name for it is "bacterial SSU rRNA". It matches the Rfam family "Bacterial small subunit ribosomal RNA", at positions 95 to 728 of the family's 1533-position model. The record is from RNAcentral. Lineage: Bacteria; Pseudomonadati; Pseudomonadota; Alphaproteobacteria; Rhodobacterales; Paracoccaceae.